GUCCCGGUAGCUCAGCAGGAUAGAGCGGCGGUUUCCUAAACCGUAGGCCAGGGGUUCGAGUCCCUUCCGGGACGCCA
Molecule: transfer RNA, 77 nt
Filed under: Methylocapsa sp.
Lineage: Bacteria; Pseudomonadati; Pseudomonadota; Alphaproteobacteria; Hyphomicrobiales; Beijerinckiaceae
Description: tRNA-Arg
Rfam family: tRNA
About the family: Transfer RNA (tRNA) molecules are approximately 80 nucleotides in length. Their secondary structure includes four short double-helical elements and three loops (D, anti-codon, and T loops).
Source: RNAcentral